Molecule: small RNA, 471 nt
Filed under: bovine gut metagenome
Source: RNAcentral
AUUAUAGAUGUAUUGGUGCAUUAUUCUAGUCGCAAAAAGUAUUUGAAGGUGGGGCUAAAAAUCCAUCAAUUGUACAUAGACACUUUGUAUAUUUGCUUGGGCUGCCCAAGCUUGGGUGAAUAUAUGAUUUAAGAUUUAAGGAAUAAUUAUAACGGCAUAUAAUCACAUAUCCUUUUAUCCCGUCAUACAAAAAAUACAACGUACAUGUCUUGAGUGAUUACGUGGGAUAGCAAUUGAAAACGUAGUUGCAAAAGAGAAUAAGAAUACUCACUAUGCGUUAGAGAAAAUCUCUAGAGUGUAUUGUAUUAUAAGGUUUGAAGUGCAUACUAAGUGGUAAUCGAGUAAUUAUUCACUAGAUAAUAAUUAAUUCCUUUAAAGAGAAAUCGCCCGCGAGUAAUCAGAGGUAGGAAUUAGAGAAAUUCGACUCGACCUAAGAUGCAAAAUUAAUUUAUAGUAUAACCAAAUACAUUU